AGGAUUAACGCUAGCGGCAGGCCUAAUACAUGCAAGUCGAGGGGCAGCAGGUGUAGCAAUACAUGCUGGCGACCGGCGCACGGGUGCGUAACACGUAUGUAGCCUUUCCUUAACUGGGGAAUAGCUCCGAGAAAUCGGGAUUAAUACCCCAUAACACUGCGAAGUGGCAUCACUUUGCAAUUAAAGCUCAGGCGGUUAAGGGCGGACAUGCGUCCCAUUAGCUAGUUGGCGAGGUAACGGCUCACCAAGGCUACGAUGGGUAGGGGUUCUAAGAGGAUUUACCCCCACACUGGCACUGAGAUACGGGCCAGACUCCUACGGGAGGCAGCAGUAAGGAAUAUUGGUCAAUGGGCGCAAGCCUGAACCAGCCAUGCCGCGUGUAGGAUGAAGGUCCUACGGAUUGUAAACUACUUUUGUACGGGUAAAAACCCUUGUUCUACAAGGGUUGAUGGUACCGUAAGAAUAAGGAUCGGCUAACUCCGCGCCAGCAGCCGC
Molecule: ribosomal RNA, 495 nt
Filed under: uncultured bacterium
Lineage: Bacteria
Description: SSU rRNA
Rfam family: Bacterial small subunit ribosomal RNA
Source: RNAcentral